RNAcentral lists this unclassified non-coding RNA (390 nucleotides) under Hevea brasiliensis (rubber tree). Lineage: Eukaryota; Viridiplantae; Streptophyta; Magnoliopsida; Malpighiales; Euphorbiaceae. The record is from RNAcentral.
CAAAAUGGCCUAAGCCAUUUUGAUUUGGUUUGCCAACACUCACAUGCCCUUUAAUUUUCUCAUAUACUGCCAAUAUGAGACUUGUUCCCACAAGUGACAUUCCAACAACCAUCAACUUGCCUCUUUAAGGAACAAGAAUCUAUCAAGGAGUCACCUUCACCAUUUUGUGCAACAACAUUGCUCACAACUGAUUUAGAAGAUUUCUCAUUUGUAGGAUCAGCUUGUUUAGGAAAACCUAUUGCAGCUGUUAUUUCUUUAUCAGUCUGGGUAACCUCAUCCAAUGAUACUCCAGCUGGUUUGCUUUGUUCAACUUUAUUUUCAUCAGCAGCAUGAGCAUCAUUUUGUUCAACAGUUCCAGAUUGGCAAAUAGAGGCAACUAUUUCACUGUAA